This 754-nucleotide ribosomal RNA is filed under the name uncultured archaeon. RNAcentral describes it as "bacterial SSU rRNA". It matches the Rfam family "Archaeal small subunit ribosomal RNA", at positions 102 to 859 of the family's 1478-position model. The record is from RNAcentral.
AGUCAACAUGCCCAAAGGACGUGGAUAACCUCGGGAAACUGAGGAUAAACCGCGAUAGGCCAAGGUUUCUGGAAUGAGCCAUGGCCGAAAUCUACAUGGCCUUUGGAUUGGACUGCGGCCGAUCAGGCUGUUGGUGAGGUAAUGGCCCACCAAACCUGUAACCGGUACGGGCUUUGAGAGAAGGAGCCCGGAGAUGGGCACUGAGACAAGGGCCCAGGCCCUAUGGGGCGCAGCAGGCGCGAAACCUCUGCAAUAGGCGAAAGCUUGACAGGGUUACUCUGAGUGAUGCCCGCUAAGGGUAUCUUUUGGCACCUCUAAAAAUGGUGCAGAAUAAGGGGUGGGCAAGUCUGGUGUCAGCCGCCGCGGUAAUACCAGCACCCCGAGUUGUCGGGACGAUUAUUGGGCCUAAAGCAUCCGUAGCCUGUUCUGCAAGUCCUCCGUUAAAUCCACCUGCUCAACGGAUGGGCUGCGGAGGAGACCGCAGAGCUAGGAGGCGGGAGAGGCAAACGGUACUCAGUGGGUAGGGGUAAAAUCCAUUGAUCUACUGAAGACCACCAGUGGCGAAGGCGGUUUGCCAGAACGCGCUCGACGGUGAGGGAUGAAAGCUGGGGGAGCAAACCGGAUUAGAUACCCGGGUAGUCCCAGCUGUAAACGAUGCAGACUCGGUGAUGGGUUGGCCUCGAGCCAACCCAGUGCCGCAGGGAAGCCGUUAAGUCUGCCGCCUGGGGAGUACGGUCGCAAGACUGAAACUUAA